AGCAAUUAGAAGUUGUAAAUGAUACGAGAAAAUUAAAACAUGUUCCCUAAGUAUCCGCGCCAUUGGCAUGGCAAGUACCCCUUGCUCUCCCUGUACGGAAAGUCUCUACCCACCAUGCCACGCUAUGCCGUGCUGUGCUGCGCUGUGCUACGGUUUGCCGUGCCAUCCUCAACCGCGUAGCGUGGCUAGUUGUUUCUUUUCUUUAUUCCUUUGUCGGAAAGUCGGUGGCGAGUCUCGUUUUUAAGAGAAGAGUAGAGGGGAGGAGGCAAAAGGAAAACGACAACCGCUCAGCAGGGGCUGAGGAAGGAAUGGUCGGGCUGGGGCUUCAGAGAGGGGUACAGGGAGGGAGGAAGGGCCACGCAGCAAGGAGAAUAAAACUGAACUGUCUUCCUGUCGUCUGGAGAGAGGUACGAUUGCUCUUUGCGAAUGCGACAAGCCGGCUUUUGCAUGGUAUCGCCCAUUCGAAAGCGUUGUCCGGCUUGGCGUCCGUUUCGUUUGCGUUAUUAUGUAAUGUUACGUGCGAAUAGCGUGUAUAUGGCACGCCGGUAAGAGGCUGUUGCACUAUUAAAGAAAAUUGCCCUCUCGCGGUGGUGAAUAGGAAGCGUCAUGCAUUCUUCGAUACGGUCAUCGAUCUGCUAUUCGAUCUAAGAACAUAAACUCUGCUAUAUAUAUACUUUAGAAGUUUUUUUUAUAUAUUAAUAAUAAAAGAAUAGUAAAUUGAAGAAAAAAAAACAGGAAGGAGAGGAUGAAGAGGAGAAAGGAAGAAAUAAGAGAGGAAAGAAGGUCCACGACCGGAUCUUAUAAUUACGCUAAUUAGGCAGUAACGUGUAAAAAGAGCGGCGCGAGUAUUUAUCACAAGGUAUCGUGGAAGGUAUACGGAGGUCGGCAAAGGAGGACGUCGUACGACAGAAUACGACAGGAAAGGCUAUAAUACAAUUUUGCCGCAAGCAUCACAAGUAACAGCAGCAGCUACGGCGGUAAGCAAGCGAACAGCAACGCCGGUGCCGAGAAACAGACAACUCUGACGUCGGUUUCGUUAUACGUUCCUCGCAUCUGACAGAUGUCUAAUUUAAAGAAAAUCCAAAAGUUGAAAUUCUUAAAAGCCGAUUCUUAAAAGUUUAGGUAUGGAAUGUUAGAUAUGGAAUUUGUUUGUUGAAUAAUAAAUACAUUUCAAAACAAUUAAACAAUUAUAUAAUAAAU
Long non-coding RNA from Apis florea (little honeybee), 1200 nucleotides. NCBI's taxonomy places the organism in Eukaryota, Metazoa, Arthropoda, Insecta, Hymenoptera, Apidae. The record is from RefSeq and is a predicted model, not a curated record.